Papaver somniferum (opium poppy) is the source of this 1289-nucleotide long non-coding RNA. RefSeq lists it as uncharacterized. The record is from RefSeq and is a predicted model, not a curated record. The transcript is spliced from 2 exons. NCBI's taxonomy places the organism in Eukaryota, Viridiplantae, Streptophyta, Magnoliopsida, Ranunculales, Papaveraceae.
ACUACCACCACAUCCAUUUUUGAGUUUUUUCUCUCCCUCGAAUCCACGCGCGCACCCGUUUUCAACGAAAACAUUUCACCGACGCCCAAAUUUUUUAAAAUUAUGUUUCGUAUAUCUUUUGGUUCCUUUAAUACCCUUUCGUAUACACCCUUCAAUAUUUACAUCUCGAUUCCAGUUGAAAAACCUAUUUUCAACAUUAGUAGUUUGCGUUCUUGGAGAUUUCUGUGAAAUCGAUGGGGAGAAUCGAUGAAGAUCAUCAUCAACAGUUAAAUCAGCAGAUUAAAUUAUCAAAAACGAAAGCGUAGAUAAGUUUUUUCUAGCGUUAUCAAGUUUUUGUUUUUCUGAUAAAUGAUUUUACGAUUUCGAAAAAUUUAAAACUUUGAUUACAACUCAAUUUCUUGAUCAGAGCAAAGAUCUAAUCUCGAUCUCUCUUUUGAGAAAAAAAGUUCCAAAAAGUUUAGCAUUUUAUUAGGGUUCUUGACUGAAAUUUUGAUUUAUCUUCCAAUUUAUUAUUUUUAUCGAAAAUCUAUCUUCAUAUUGGAAUUCAGGGCAUCUAAAUCUCUGUUACCCAUGAAAUCAUUUUGAAUUUGGUGAAUUUUUAAUUUUCGAGGUUUUUUGGAAUUUUUUAAGGAUUUAAUUUGAUUGAUUAAGUGGUUUUGUGUUUUAGGUGAAGAGAAAUGCAAUGACAAAGGUGAGAUGGAUAGAUCAUUACCAACUAAGUAUGAAGAAGAUGUAUCUUUAAUGCUAUUGCUGACGAUGUUUGACUUGUUUAAAGUUCAUGUCUGAAGAAAUGGGUGGGAUUUCGUAAAGCUUAGAUCUACAACUGUUUGAGACAUCGUGCGCACGAGUAUUGUUAACGGUACCGAUAACAGGGAUGGCAAGCUUAAUACAUUGACACACGCUUUUUCUAUCUUGCUUCUCGGGCAGUUGUUGGUCGGUACUUUGAUGUUAUCGCAACAACUUGUUGAAGGUACGGAACCAACAUUUUUCAAGUAUGAUAAACAAGGAGCGAAGCUAGUUAUAACAGCGUCACAUAAAGGUGCAACAUUCAUGGCUGGCCUCACAACCAGCAAGAGAGUCAUUAGAACACAGACAAUGAUGAACUUAGAAUUCAUGAUGGGUGUGGUGAUCAAUGGAAAAAAAUAACUAAAUUUAUGUUCCAAUUAGUAGAGGAAAGUUGAGUUUGUGCUUAAUGGUGAUGAUUUAUGGGUACGUUUUAUACAGAUGUUUACACAAUUCAGUUUGGGGAAUACGGUUAAAAAUUGGUCAUGCUUGUUAGCUUUUUGAGC